ACAAGGUUUCCGUAGGUGAACCUGCGGAAGGAUCAUUACAGAGUUCAUGCCCGAAAGGGUAGACCUCCCACCCUUGUGUAUUAUUACUUUGUUGCUUUGGCGAGCUGCUCUUCGGGGCCUUGUAUGCUCGCCAGAGAAUAUCAAAACUCUUUUUAUUAAUGUCGUCUGAGUACUAUAUAAUAGUUAAAACUUUCAACAACGGAUCUCUUGGUUCUGGCAUCGAUGAAGAACGCAGCGAAAUGCGAUAAGUAAUGUGAAUUGCAGAAUUCAGUGAAUCAUCGAAUCUUUGAACGCACAUUGCGCCCCUUGGUAUUCCGGGGGGCAUGCCUGUUCGAGCGUCAUUUCAACCCUCAAGCUCAGCUUGGUAUUGAGUCCAUGUCAGUAAUGGCAGGCUCUAAAAUCAGUGGCGGCGCCGCUGGGUCCUGAACGUAGUAAUAUCUCUCGUUACAGGUUCUCGGUGUGCUUCUGCCAAAACCCAAAUUUUCUAUGGUUGACCUCGGAUCAGGUAGGGAUACCCGCUGAACUUAAGCAUUUAA
Molecule: ribosomal RNA, 536 nt
Filed under: Sclerotinia sclerotiorum
Lineage: Eukaryota; Fungi; Ascomycota; Leotiomycetes; Helotiales; Sclerotiniaceae
Description: eukaryotic LSU rRNA
Rfam family: 5.8S ribosomal RNA (bases 188-341)
Source: RNAcentral